AGAGUUUGAUCCUGGCUCAGAACGAACGCUGGCGGCGUGGAUAAGACAUGCAAGUCGAACGGGACAACAUUUGUAGCAAUACAGAUGUUGUUUAGUGGCGAACGGGUGCGUAACACGUGGGCAAUCUGCCGAGAAGUGGGGGAUAGCUCGCCGAAAGGCGAAUUAAUACCGCAUAUGAUCAGGGACGACAUCUUCCCAACAUCAAAGCCGGGGUAACCUGGCGCUUCUUGAUGAGUCCGCGGCCUAUCAGCUAGUUGGUGAGGUAACGGCUCACCAAGGCUAUGACGGGUAGCUGGUCUGAAGGACGACCAGUCACACUGGAACUGAGACACGGUCCAGACACCUACGGGUGGCCAGUCGAGAAUUUUUCACAAUGGGGGCAACCCUGAUGGAGCGACGCCGCGUGGAGAUGAAGGCUUUCGGGUUGUAAACUCCUGUCAUUUGAGAACAA
Molecule: ribosomal RNA, 451 nt
Filed under: uncultured bacterium
Lineage: Bacteria
Description: bacterial SSU rRNA
Rfam family: Bacterial small subunit ribosomal RNA
Source: RNAcentral